This 1131-nucleotide long non-coding RNA is filed under the name Anser brachyrhynchus (Pink-footed goose). RNAcentral describes it as "lncRNA (ENSABRG00000000523.1)". The record is from RNAcentral. Lineage: Eukaryota; Metazoa; Chordata; Aves; Anseriformes; Anatidae.
AUUCAGCAAUCAUGUUGCAAAGACACUGUUUGUCUUUAAAAUAGCAACACUUAAAACAAAAAUUAUUGUUGUUAUCUCUUUCAGACUGAAUUUAAACUUCAAGCAGGUAUUUCCUUUCAUUUUUCUCUUUCAAGAGGAAACCUUGUUGGAAACAUGGGACUGAUGACAGGCUCUUGAGAGGAAGAGCAUCUGCUGUAUUCUGUCUGCUGGACACCACCAACCCUGAGCCAAGGGAUCACCUGAGAAGAAUGAGAUCUUUGAGAUCUAACACAUGAAAAUUCCACGUGACAAAGAAUUCAAGGAACUCAAAUUGCAUUUAAUGACAUUGCAUUGCUUCAUCUUAGACUUCAACAUCAGACAGAGGAAAAUCAGAAAAUAGAAAUUAAAAAAUAGACUGAGUCUAUAUGUUGAAUGAAGAUGUUUAUCUUCAUUCAAUUACAGCAAUUACACUAAGGAAACCUGGCAGUGAAGAGAAUUACUCAUUCUUUUCCUGGGGAAGAGAUUUACAGGCUUCCUUCCAGAGGAGGGUGACGAAGAUGGUGAAGGGCCUAGAGGGGAAGACAUAUGAGGAGCGGCUGAGGUCACUGGGCCUGUUCAGCCUGGAGAAGAGGAGGCUGAGGGGAGGUCUCAUCGCAGUCUACAACUUCCUCGCGAGGGGGAGUGGAGGGGCAGGGGACCUAUUCUCCGUAAACACCAGUGACAGGACCCGCGGGAAUGGUGUUAAGCUGAGGCAGGGGAAGUUUAGGCUGGACAUCAGGAAGAGGUUCUUCACUGAGAGGUUGGUUGCACACUGGAACAGGCUCCCCAGUGAAGUAGUCACUGCACCAAGCCUGUCUGAAUUUAAGAAGUGAUUGGACUGUGCACUUAGUCACAUGGUCUAAACUUUUGGGUAGACCUGUGCAGUGCCAGGAGUUGGACUCGAUGAUCCUUAUGGGUCCCUUCCAACUCGGGAUAUUCUAUGAUUCUAUGAUUCUUGUCACUAUGCUUCUGUGAUAAAUCUCAGGACAAUAUAACUCUACUGUUUACCUGCUUAGACAGUGACACCCACUAGACAAAUGAUGUACAGCACCUGAAAAUAUAUAAAAAAAAAAAAAAAGAUAAAAGAAACAAGAAACAACUUAAAAUAAGAGG